GCUUAUAGUUCCUUCCUGUCUCUUGAUGUCAUCAAGGGUUUCGCACAGGGUGUGGCCCUGCUCUCUCCAAAGCCCUGGCAUUCAGCACACUUACCACACCUCUGUCACCAGCCAGAGCAGCCUCGUGAUCUGGAAACCACACUCAUUCUGAACUUUUCAGUGACUCCACAUGACGGGCAUAAUGUUGUCUUCCUCCAUAAGAAUCUUAAAUCCAUUUGGGAGGUUACAGUUAGGUUUGCAUGGGUACCAUACCUAGAAUUCCCCAAACUGAGGAAUUAUCUGAAUCCAUAGGACACAAUUUCAUUUUAUCCAUUUGCUUUUGGCUGAUGUUGGAUGUAAACUUUAAAGGAAAAAAUACCUAUGCCACUGAGGAAAGUAGAUAACCUGUUCAUUUGACAAAUUGUAACAACAUCACAGGAUCCUGAUAAAUUAUGAAACAUUGAUGAGGUAAACUCAAACUUUCAGAGAGUAGAAUGACACUCUGCACCCAUAUGAGUGUUGAAAAACGCUGCCAUCACUAUUACCCACCUCUACUGUUACCGCCACCAUCACCAUCAUCACCAGCACUGACACCCCAUAAAUAAUGCCAUUGCCACUAUCACUAGUGUAGCCACCACCACCGUUACUACCGCCACCAUCACCAGCACCCUCACAAGCCUUGCCACCACUGUCAUUGUUACCAUGGCCACCAUCACUAGCGCUGUUGCCAAUACACCUUUCUUUCAUCAGUCCAUUGGGGAAAGAACCUAGCAAAAGAAUGUCUGACAGGGAAUAUCCUCUGCACUGGGGGCCACAUCUUCCUAGCAGGUUAAGGGGCAUGGGGUGGUGUGAACUGGAAAGUGCAGUGUUUGUAAACCGAC
This 860-nucleotide long non-coding RNA is filed under the name Marmota monax (woodchuck). Lineage: Eukaryota; Metazoa; Chordata; Mammalia; Rodentia; Sciuridae. The record is from RNAcentral.